AUCAACCAAAGCAAGAUACUUCCAGCUUGGAGCCAAUUAUUUCAUCUCUGGGACAAUUAUUUCCAAGAUAUCAUUCAGCUCUGAUAUUUGCUUUAAUAUAGUGAGCUCAGAGCAUCUUCAUCCAGUCUCCAAACUAUAUUGUGGCCAGCUGAGAAAAGACACUGAGCUUACAGUUUGAAGACUGAAGAGACAAGAUACAUAGACAAGCUUGCAUGCUUUGGUAAAGCAAGCUGCCAUGCUGCAGAGUCCUACACAAGGAACUAAGGAUGUCCUUCAACUAAUAGCCAGCAAGGAACUGAAGCCUUCAGUUCAAUACCAUGAGAGGAAUGGAAUCCCACCACCAACCACAUAAGGGAGCAGAUCCUUUCUCAGUUCAGCCUUCAGAUGAGAAUGUAGCCCCUGGGCUCACAUGCAACCUUUAUAAGAGAUAUUGAAGCAGAUGAUCCAGCUCAGCUGUAUCUGGAAUCCUGAACCAUACAGACUGAGAUAAUAAAUGUGUACUG
Molecule: long non-coding RNA, 503 nt
Organism: Lutra lutra (Eurasian river otter)
Lineage: Eukaryota; Metazoa; Chordata; Mammalia; Carnivora; Mustelidae
Exons: 3
Source: RefSeq, a predicted model, not a curated record